Molecule: non-coding RNA, 32 nt
Filed under: Homo sapiens (human)
Lineage: Eukaryota; Metazoa; Chordata; Mammalia; Primates; Hominidae
Source: RNAcentral
UACCAAGCUCUUCCUGAGACUGCAGCCACCAC